Molecule: non-coding RNA, 46 nt
Filed under: Schistosoma mansoni
Lineage: Eukaryota; Metazoa; Platyhelminthes; Trematoda; Strigeidida; Schistosomatidae
Source: RNAcentral
GCACUGCUGAGGAGUCCCACAAUAGGAUGAAACGUCGGUCCAGUGC